UACGUAGGGGGCGAGCGUUGUCCGGAAUGACUGGGCGUAAAGGGCGCGUAGACGGCCGAUUAAGUCUGGAGUGAAAGUCCUGCUUUUAAGGUGGGAAUUGCUUUGGAGACUGGUUGGCUUGAGUGCGGAAGAGGUAAGUGGAAUUCCCAGUGUAGCGGUGAAAUGCGUAGAGAUUGGGAGGAACACCAGUGGCGAAGGCGACUUACUGGGCCGUAACUGACGUUGAAGCGCGAAAGCGUGGGGAGCGAACAGGAUUAGAUACCCUGGUAGUCCACGCGGUAAACGAUGAGUGCUAGGUGUAGCGGGUAUCGACCCCUGCUGUGCCGGAGUUAACACAAUAAGCACUCCGCCUGGGGAGUACGGCCGCAAGGUUGAA
Molecule: ribosomal RNA, 376 nt
Filed under: uncultured bacterium
Lineage: Bacteria
Description: bacterial SSU rRNA
Rfam family: Bacterial small subunit ribosomal RNA
Source: RNAcentral